This 1278-nucleotide ribosomal RNA is filed under the name Triticum aestivum (bread wheat). RNAcentral's name for it is "partial small subunit ribosomal RNA". Lineage: Eukaryota; Viridiplantae; Streptophyta; Magnoliopsida; Poales; Poaceae. The record is from RNAcentral.
AUGGCGCUACCCCCUGCCCUCCUCCUCCUCCUCCUCCUCCAGCUGCUCUGCCUCUUGCUGCUCGGCGCGGGCGCGGCGCUGCACGAGCGCGACGCGGCGGCGCUCCGGGACGUGCGGGCCGGCCUGCGGGACCUGCCGGGGUCGCGCUUCUUCGAGUCCUGGGACGACGACGCGUCCGCCCCGUGCGCCUACGCCGGCGUCGUGUGCGCGCCCGACGAGGACGACCCGUCCGGCGCGCUCCUCCGCGUGUCGGUGCUCACGCUCGGCACCGGCCUCUCCGACUCCCCCGGCAUGGCCGGCAGCGUCCCGGCCUCGCUCGCCAGCCUCACCGCGCUCACCGACCUCGUCCUCUACCCGGGCCGUGUCGGCGGCUCCAUCCCGGAGGGCAUUGGGUCGGGUCUCCGGCGCCUCAGGCUCCUCUCGCUGUCCGGGAACCAGCUCACCGGGCCCGUGCCCGAGUCCCUGGCGGGGCUGCCGGAACUGCACACGCUCGACCUCGGCAACAACCGCCUCGAGGGCACGAUUCCCUCCGGGCUGCUGCUGCCGUCGUCCCCGAGCCUCAAGGUGCUCAUCCUGGCCAACAAUGUCGGCCUCUCCGGGCAGAUUCCCGACCAGUUUCCCAGCUCGCAGCUGUUCCACGUCGACCUGAGCCGGAACGCGAUAACCGGCACGCUCCCGCCGCUGCCACCGACGAUCCGGUACUUCUCCGUAGCCGGGAACUCGAUGGAGGGGAGCCUCGACGGAGCCUUCGCCGGCAACGGCCAGGGCCCAGCCGACCUGGCAUUCCUCGACCUGUCGAUGAACGACUUCUCGGGCUCGAUCCCGCCGGAGGUGUUCGCGCUCCCGAGCGCGUCGUCGCUGCUCCUGUCCCGCAACAACUUCACGGGGUCGCUGGCCGUGCCGGCGGCGCCCGCGUCGGCGACGCCGCCGUGGUCAGUGGUGGACGUCAGCCACAACGGCCUCACGGGCGAGGUCCCGGAGGCGCUGGCGGCGGCGGGGAGCCUGUACGUGAACAACAACAAGAUCUCCGGCGAGGUCCCGGAGGCGGUGGCCCGCAGCGUGUUCGACGGGCGCAUGACGACCUUCUACGCGCAGCACAACUUCCUGACGGGGUUCCCGGUGCCGCCGACGCCGCUGCCGGACUCCGCGGCGCUGUGCCUCUCCUACAACUGCAUGGACCUCCCCUCCGCCUCCGCGGCCGACGGGUGCCCCACGAUCGGCGGGCCCCUGGAGUCCAGGCCCGCGGACCAGUGCCGGAGCAGCGGCGGCGACGGCUGA